Molecule: transfer RNA, 98 nt
Filed under: Streptomyces brasiliensis
Lineage: Bacteria; Bacillati; Actinomycetota; Actinomycetes; Kitasatosporales; Streptomycetaceae
Description: tRNA-Arg
Source: RNAcentral
GUCGUCGCAUCGCUGACCUGGGCGAGCGUGCUCUCCUCCGAUGGGGACGGCACCCUCAACCGGCUGCUGGGCCUGUUCGGCUCCGGUGCGGCGGCACC